Long non-coding RNA from Mustela erminea (ermine), 450 nucleotides. RefSeq lists it as uncharacterized. The record is from RefSeq and is a predicted model, not a curated record. Lineage: Eukaryota; Metazoa; Chordata; Mammalia; Carnivora; Mustelidae. The transcript is spliced from 3 exons.
GGAACACACCUCACCCAUGCCCUGUCUGGUGACACGCUCCAGCCACUCCAGCCCCCCGGGCUCAAUCACCCAGACUCUCACUGGAGCGACCAGACCCUGCUCCAGGCCAGCAGAGGUGCACAGGCCAGGCCACUCCUCUCGGCUUGCUCCCUGUCCUUCCUGGCUGAACCCCAUCCUCUCAGGGACGAACCUCCAAGGACAGUGCCGGUCAGUGGGUGACAGACAAGUGUUCAUGCAGAUGGAGUUUUAGUGGCAACAGCAAGAGCCACAUGAACUGUGUGAGCAAGAGAGGCCUUUACAAUGCACAUCGGCUGCUCAUGGAAGCUGCAGGAUGGACAGAGCCUCAACCAGGGCCUUUGGCACUGGACAGAGCUCAUCCACACCCUCAGGAUCUUCUGGCUGUGACCCCCUGACCCUGCCAACUCCAACCUUGCUGACAUCUCUCUCCUC